UACGUAGGUGGCAAGCGUUAUCCGGAAUUACUGGGCGUAAAGCGCACGCAGGUGGUUGGAUAAGAUUGACGUGAAAGCUUCUGGCUUAACUGGAAGAGGUCGUUGAUGACUGUCCGACUUGAGACGAGGGGAGGGGUGCAGAAUUCCCGGUGUAGUGGUGGAAUGCGUAGAUAUCGGGAGGAAUACCAGUGGCGAAAGCGGCACCCUGGCCUUAGUCUGACGAUCAGGUGCGAAAGAGUGGGGAGCAAACGGG
RNAcentral lists this ribosomal RNA (253 nucleotides) under uncultured bacterium. RNAcentral describes it as "partial 16S ribosomal RNA". It matches the Rfam family "Bacterial small subunit ribosomal RNA", at positions 524 to 776 of the family's 1533-position model. The record is from RNAcentral.